Molecule: ribosomal RNA, 462 nt
Filed under: uncultured bacterium
Lineage: Bacteria
Description: partial 16S ribosomal RNA
Rfam family: Bacterial small subunit ribosomal RNA
Source: RNAcentral
GACGAACGCUGGCGGCGUGCUUAACACAUGCAAGUCGAGCGGAAAGGCCCUUCGGGGUACUCGAGCGGCGAACGGGUGAGUAACACGUGAGUAACCUGCCCUAGGCUUUGGGAUAACCCCGGGAAACCGGGGCUAAUACCGGAUAUGACCUGGUGCCGCAUGGUGUUGGGUGGAAAGUUUUUUCGGCCUGGGAUGGGCUCGCGGCCUAUCAGCUUGUUGGUGGGGCGAUGGCCUACCAAGGCGAUGACGGGUAGCCGGCCUGAGAGGGCGACCGGCCACACUGGGACUGAGACACGGCCCAGACUCCUACGGGAGGCAGCAGUGGGGAAUAUUGCACAAUGGGCGGAAGCCUGAUGCAGCGACGCCGUGUGAGGGAUGAAGGCCUUCGGGUUGUAAACCUCUUUCAGCAGGGACGAAGCGUGAGUGACGGUACCUGCAGAAGAAGCGCCGGCCAACUACGUG